AUGUAUGAGAUGUUCAGAAGUGCAAACCAGCAUAGAUUUAGGAAACUUUGUGAAAAACAAAUGAUGGGUCCAUUUUGAAUCCUGAAAAAAGGAAACCACUUCAGCAUUUCUCAUCUUUUGGGUCCAGCAUGACUGCUACUUUCUCAUAAGAGGACUGCCUUUGAUCCAUGUGAAGCUGAUGGCAUUGGUGCUGUUCUAGCAAGAAAUAUGAC
RNAcentral lists this long non-coding RNA (212 nucleotides) under Crocodylus porosus (Australian saltwater crocodile). RNAcentral's name for it is "lncRNA (ENSCPRG00005018035.1)". Lineage: Eukaryota; Metazoa; Chordata; Crocodylia; Crocodylidae. The record is from RNAcentral.